ACAUCUUCUUCAACUUCCUUCUGAACUUUAUUCUUCAAUGCACAACUGUAUUGCUCUACAAACUGCUUCAAAGUAGUCUUUGAGUUAACAUAACCAUCAAAAAAUGCAUUCAUGCUUUCACUACGUUGAGUAGAUGACAUUCCUGCCCAAAACGUAUUGUUUAGAUAACAAGGUACCCAAUGAUGCCUCUCGUCAUAUAAGCCUCGUAACCAUUCGUUAUCCCCCAAAUCAUAUUCUGUAAUCAUAUGGUGCCAAGUUUCCUCAAAUUUCGUAGCACUCUGGGAAUCAUAAACAGCACAAUGCAAGACAUUACUUAUGUUGCGAUAUUCUUUAUAACCCCCUAGCUUCUCUGGAACUUUCUUCAUUAUAUGCCAUAAACACCACCGAUGUCGAGUAUUGGGAAAGACAUUCUGAAUUGCAACUUUCAUUGCCCUGUCUUGAUCUGUAAUGAUUCCAUUAGGAGCUAAAUUAGACAUGCAAGAUAGCCAUGUUCGAAAUAACCACGUGAAUGUCUCAAUAUCUUCGUGUGAAAUCAAUCCACACCCAAACAGAAUAGAAUGCCCAUGAUGAUUAACUCCUACAAAUGGAGCGAACGGCAUAUCAUACUUAUUUGUAAGAUACGUGGUGUCAAAUGUAACAACGUCUCCAAACUCCUUGUACGCUUCCCUAUUCCUUGGCUCGGCCCAAAAAAUAUUUUUUAAUCGUCCCUCAUCAUCUACCUGCAUACUAAAGUAAAACAUAUUAUCUUCUGCUUGCACUUUCAUAAAAUAGUUUUGAAGAGCAGCAGCAUCCCCAUCUCCAAGCCGCAAUCUUCUUUCUUUUUGGACAUGAUUUCUACAAUCUCUUUCUAUGAAUGUCACAUUUUCAUGACCACCAGCCUCAAUAACAAGUGAUUGAUAAUUCUUACAUAAUCUGAUUCCUGCUCGAUCAUUUACAUCAAGCCUUUUUUUUGCAUAUGUAUUGAGGCUACGAUUGCACCGAAAAUACUUGGAUUUGGUUGGAGUUAACAGCACAUGGUUGUGUUCAAGAUUUAAGCUUCGAAUUGUCCACUUUCCAUCAUCCCCUAAACCAGCUCCCAAUCUAGCAUUGCAGCCUGUUUUUGCAUUAGGUUGGGGCUUUAAAAUAUUCACAGAUUUGCUUCUUGUUUCACCACUUCUCCCACAAGCAAAAGUCACAUUUCUAAGAAUCCCAUCACUAUCCUUUCUACUAGUUCUCCUCAAAAUCGGAAACCCUUUUCUUUUACCGUACUCUUUGAAGUAAAUAAACAAAUCAACAUCACUAUCAAAUGACAUCCCAAUUAUUGGCUCAUCGUUCUCCUCAAAUUUCUCCAACUCUUCAACUUCGAUGUCUUUUUCCAUAUUAUUUAUUUCUACAAAAUUGAAAUAAUUCACAUUGACAAAAUGAAAGUAACAAAAUACAAAUAAUUCAGCACAACCUCACACAACUAAACUAACUAGUGAUGCAAAUUGUGAACACAAAUUUAAUAUAUACCAGCAGAAUUUGCAGCAUACGAGAUGCCUUUGAUUGGAAUUUAGUGAUUUUUUAUUUAAUAUAUAACCCAAUGUGCUUAUUAAUUUUCCAAUGGAUGCUGAUUUAAUAUAUAAAGAUUAUUGCGCAAUUGAUACCCUUAAGAUUAUUGCGCAAUUGAUUUAAUAUAUAAAAAUUUGACUUCACAAUUGAAUCUUCACACAUUCGGAAUUAUUACAACCAAAAUUGGGCAUUAAUUAAACCAAUUACCUCCACGAAUUGAUUACGACGGCUACAACUAUCUACAGGGCAGACAGAGAAAGAGAAACCCAACGAGAUGCGCGAGAGAGAUCCACGACGAGAGAAAGUCGAAGGAGAGAGCAGCGAGAUGAGUGAGAGGCCGGAUGAGAGAGACCCGCGGUGAGAGAGAGAGCCACAGCCGAAGACAGACCCAAGGCGAGAGAGAGAGACCCACGGUGAGAGAGAGAGCCACUGCCGAAGACAGACCCAAGGCGAGAGAGAGAGACCCACGGUGAGAGAGAGAGCCACUGCCGAAGACAGACCCAAGGCGAGAGAGAGAGACCCACGGUGAGAGAGAGAGCCACUGCCGAAGACAGACCCAAGGCGAGAGAGAGAGACCCACGGUGAGAGAGAGAGCCACUGCCGAAGACAGACCCAAGGCGAGAGAGAGAGACCCACGGUGAGAGAGAGAGCCACUGCCGAAGACAGACCCAAGGCGAGAGAGAGAGACCCACGGUGAGAGAGAGAGCCACUGCCGAAGACAGACCCAAGGCGAGAGAGAGAGACCCACGGUGAGAGAGAGAGCCACUGCCGAAGACAGACCCAAGGCGAGAGAGAGAGACCCACGGUGAGAGAGAGAGCCACUGCCGAAGACAGACCCAAGGCGAGAGAGAGAGCCACAACCGAAGAGAGACCCACGCUCGAGAGAGAAAGAGAGAAAGAGAGAAAACUGAAAGACAGAGCAAUCCCACGAUGAAGAGCAGAGCUUGAAGAUGGCAAAGAACUGGCUGCAAUUGAACUCGUUGCUUGGUGUGAAAUGCAUGAGUGAGAGUGAUGCAUGCGUGAGAUGAGAUGCGCGUGCAGUGUGUUUGCUUGUUCAAACAGUGCCCUUUUAUAUUACAAAUAAAACGCACCGUUCGGGACUUACUGUGGUGCUUAUUGUGGGCUGAAUAUCGGU
Molecule: long non-coding RNA, 2665 nt
Filed under: Citrus sinensis (sweet orange)
Lineage: Eukaryota; Viridiplantae; Streptophyta; Magnoliopsida; Sapindales; Rutaceae
Description: long non-coding RNA (CSIN_LNC002895)
Source: RNAcentral